This 270-nucleotide ribosomal RNA is filed under the name uncultured bacterium. Its description in RNAcentral is "partial 16S ribosomal RNA". It matches the Rfam family "Bacterial small subunit ribosomal RNA", at positions 29 to 284 of the family's 1533-position model. The record is from RNAcentral.
AACGAACGUUAGCGGCGCGCUUAACACAUGCAAGUCGCACGAGAAAGGGCUUCGGCCCCGGUACAGUGGCGCACGGGUGAGUAACACGUGGGUAAUCUUCCCUUUGGCGGGGGAUAACCUUCCGAAAGGAGGGCUAAUACCGCAUAAGACCACGACUCCGAAAGGAGACGCGAUUAAAGCAGGCCUCUAUACAUAAGCUUGCUCCAAAGGAUGAGCCCGCGGCCCAUCAGCUAGUUGGUAGGGUAACGGCCUACCAAGGCAAAGACGGGU